GCUAACGAUAGGACUUUGCAUGCUUUCUAAACUUACAGAGAUACAGAGAAGAUGAGCAUGGCCUCUGUGUCAGGACAAUAUGCAAAUUUGUGAAUCAUUCCAUAUUUUU
This is a small nuclear RNA of Octodon degus (degu), 109 nucleotides long. The record is from Ensembl. NCBI's taxonomy places the organism in Eukaryota, Metazoa, Chordata, Mammalia, Rodentia, Octodontidae.